RNAcentral lists this long non-coding RNA (237 nucleotides) under Lathyrus oleraceus (garden pea). Its description in RNAcentral is "Pisum sativum (pea) long non-coding RNA (PSAT_LNC009726)". The record is from RNAcentral. Lineage: Eukaryota; Viridiplantae; Streptophyta; Magnoliopsida; Fabales; Fabaceae.
GAAGUUUUGUUUCACUGAAACUCUGAAUUUAUAACCUGAUUUUGUGGACAUGUGAGCUCAAAUGAGAGAGGCCCAAGUCCAAAAUUUUCCUGUUAUAUUUUAUUUAUUUAUUUUUUAUUUUUAUUUAUUUUUCGUUUUUUUUUAAUUUUUUUUUUCGUUUUUCGUUUUUUUUUCGUUCCCUUUUUUUUAAACACGUGGGCUUCGCCUAGCGAGCAUGACAGUUCAUGAACAAACUUU